Molecule: long non-coding RNA, 1702 nt
Organism: Suricata suricatta (meerkat)
Lineage: Eukaryota; Metazoa; Chordata; Mammalia; Carnivora; Herpestidae
Exons: 5
Source: RefSeq, a predicted model, not a curated record
CGGGAAGGGAGGCUACUUGAGGCUACUCCACCCGAAGUCCCCUGCCAAGGCCUGUGUCAGGGCAGAGAGCUACCACCGCAGACUUCUCUAAGCCUCAGACUUGACUGUGCCACUCCCAGAUAAAACUCCUGUCGUGUCUUCUCAUGUCUGUGGCGCGGCCCCUGAUGCCUACUCUGUGCCAGACUGGAUUCACACUUUGAAUCCCAGUCAGAUGGCACCUCCUUUCAAAGCCAGCCUGCCCUGGUCCUCCCAUCUCCUGGGCCCGCAGAGAGUCAUUCCUCCCUCCAGGAUGCUUCUAGACUCUAGAGCCUAGAGCAGCUUGUCCGUCAGCCCACCUGGGCAGAGUCGUUCUGCCAGCAGGCUUUGCUCACCUGUAGAAGGCCAGCUGGAGGGCCACCUGAAUGAAGGCAUCAGGACUGCAUUUCUGCUUCUUAAUGAAUGCUUUCCCGAAGAUGUCAAACUUAUAAACAGUGAAGUCGAGAUUCUUGACUAUUCUGUGGAAGAAAAAAAAGAGGUGCUGCUAUGUGCAAUAUGGAAUGCACACACCACAGAGUCUAACCAAGUUGCUCAAGCAGGGUCUACACCCUAGCACUCUGGAAGUUGAGGACACAGUCCUUGCCCACCAGGAACAUGCCGGAUGUCAGAGACAGGCCUUGACAUAUGGAAGUGGCAGAGAGAACGCCAGACUGGGGCUCCUCUGAGCUGAAGUUGGCUUCCAAGCCUGCCCGGAUCUUCUAGGAACCUGUACAAGCUUCAACAAGCUGCCUUUCUACCUCUUCUCCUCUGCCUGCACCACGAACUCCUAUCUGUCCUUCAAAGCCCACCAUUGCAGAGCGUCUCACAAUGUCCUGGUAGAAUUCCACUCCUGUAUCCUCUGUGAGUUCAGUUUUUCUGCUGAGGAGGCUAAGAGGCCUUGAAUUUCCGGGGAGCAUUUCCAACGCAGCCUCCUGGGGGCCGGGAGCUCGCUGACGGAGUCGGCUCGGACCAGCUUCUUGCUGCUCUUCACCCUGCAGACACAGAGAGGUGACCUCCCGAGGCCCUGGGAGCUGCAGGCUGCCGGCAGCUCGGUUCUCAGCUGCUGGAGUUUCAGUGGGCACGAGCUGUCCCCGGAAACAGUCUGAGGCUCAGCAAAGCCACUUAGAUGAGCACAGGGCAGAGCCAGGAUUCCAGCCAGUCUGCCAGGCUCCAGAGCCCAGUAUUUUUUCUCAUGUUUUCCCACUCCACUGCUUUCCACCACUGACAUUUAUGAAACCCUAAGAGGGAAACUGAAGAAGCAAAUUGUGUUGUUUUGUCCAUGAGGGCUUUUAGGGAUCUUAAAGAGUUCUUAAAUCGUGGAAAGGAUUUAGAACUUAGAUUCACAGAGAAGAUUCUGGAAGGAGAGAAUGGGCAAACCAUGAAGAGAGGAGAGGAGUCAUUGUGUUUAAAGGGAUAGAGAAGCACCCAGCCUGGCCAGCUUGGAAGCUAGGAAAGAGACACAGCCCAAGGGGAUGGAAGGACGUGGGAGCUGCUCUCCUCCGGCUGGGUCAACAGUCAGCCCAGUGUUGACUCAGAACAGCACUAGGUGUUGCUCUGAGCCUCGCUGGGCCAAAGCAGGCAUUCUUUUUUGGCUGAGAAUUCUUUGUCAAGCUUUCUCCUAACUGCCCCAAACCUGUUGUGCAGUAUGCCCGGCUCUGUCCGUGGCAGAUAAAGUGUAUGAUGUCAA